GAAACCAGGUGAUCUAGCCAUGGGCAGGUUGAAGGUUGAGUAACAUCAACUGGAGGACCGAACCGACUAAUGUUGAAAAAUUAGCGGAUGACUUGUGGCUAGGGGUGAAAGGCCAAUCAAACCUGGAGAUAGCUGGUUCUCCCCGAAAGCUAUUUAGGUAGCGCCUCGGACGAAUACUACUGGGGGUAGAGCACUGUUAAGGCUAGGGGGUCAUCCCGACUUACCAACCCUUUGCAAACUCCGAAUACCAGUAAGUACUAUCCGGGAGACACACGGCGGGUGCUAACGUCCGUCGUGGAGAGGGAAACAACCCAGACCGCCAGCUAAGGUCCCAAAUUACUACUAAGUGGGAAACGAUGUGGGAAGGCUCAGACAGCCAGGAUGUUGGCUUAGAAGCAGCCAUCAUUUAAAGAAAGCGUAAUAGCUCACUGGUCGAGUCGGCCUGCGCGGAAGAUGUAACGGGGCUAAGUAGUAAACCGAAGCUGCGGCAAUAUACUUUUGUAUAUUGGGUAGGGGAGCGUUCUGUAAGCGGUUGAAGGUGUGUGGUAACGCAUGCUGGACGUAUCAGAAGUGCGAAUGCUGACAUGAGUAACGAUAAAGGGGGUGAAAAACCUCCUCGCCGGAAGACCAAGGGUUCCUGUCCAACGUUAAUCGGGGCAGGGUAAGUCGACCCCUAAGGCGAGGCCGAAAGGCGUAGUCGAUGGGAAACGGGUUAAUAUUCCCGUACUUCUUACAAUUGCGAUGGGGGGACGGAGAAGGCUAGGUGGGCCUGGCGACGGUUGUCCAGGUUCAAGUGCGUAGGCUGAGAGAUUAGGUAAAUCCGGUUUCUCUUAAGGCUGAGACACGACGUCGAGCACCUACGGGUGUGAAGUCAUUGAUGCCAUGCUUCCAGGAAAAGCCUCUAAGCUUCAGAUUGUAAGGAAUCGUACCCCAAACCGACACAGGUGGUCGGGUAGAGAAUACCAAGGCGCUUGAGAGAACUCGGGUGAAGGAACUAGGCAAAAUGGUACCGUAACUUCGGGAGAAGGUACGCUCUCGACGGUGAAGUCCCUUGCGGAUGGAGCUAUUGAGAGUCGCAGAUACCAGGUGGCUGCAACUGUUUAUUAAAAACACAGCACUGUGCAAAAUCGUAAGAUGACGUAUACGGUGUGACGCCUGCCCGGUGCCGGAAGGUUAAUUGAUGGGGUUAGACUUCGGUCGAAGCUCUUGAUCGAAGCCCCGGUAAACGGCGGCCGUAACUAUAACGGUCCUAAGGUAGCGAAAUUCCUUGUCGGGUAAGUUCCGACCUGCACGAAUGGCGUAAUGAUGGCCACGCUGUCUCCACCCGAGACUCAGUGAAAUUGAAAUCGCUGUGAAGAUGCAGUGUACCCGCGGCUAGACGGAAAGACCCCGUGAACCUUUACUACAGCUUGGCACUGAACAUUGACCCUACAUGUGUAGGAUAGGUGGGAGGCUUUGAAGCACGUACGCCAGUAUGUGUGGAGCCGUCCUUGAAAUACCACCCUUGUAGUGUUGAUGUUCUAACGUCGACCCCUAAUCGGGGUUGCGGACAGUGCCUGGUGGGUAGUUUGACUGGGGCGGUCUCCUCCCAAAGAGUAACGGAGGAGCACGAAGGUGGGCUAAUCACGGUUGGACAUCGUGAGGUUAGUGCAAUGGCAUAAGCCCGCUUGACUGCGAGAAUGACAAUUCGAGCAGGUGCGAAAGCAGGUCAUAGUGAUCCGGUGGUUCUGAAUGGAAGGGCCAUCGCUCAACGGAUAAAAGGUACUCCGGGGAUAACAGGCUGAUACCGCCCAAGAGUUCAUAUCGACGGCGGUGUUUGGCACCUCGAUGUCGGCUCAUCACAUCCUGGGGCUGAAGUCGGUCCCAAGGGUAUGGCUGUUCGCCAUUUAAAGUGGUACGCGAGCUGGGUUUAGAACGUCGUGAGACAGUUCGGUCCCUAUCUGCCGUGGGCGUUGGAAGAUUGAAGGGGGCUGCUCCUAGUACGAGAGGACCGGAGUGGACGAACCUCUGGUGUUCGGGUUGUGUCGCCAGACGCAUUGCCCGGUAGCUAAGUUCGGAAUCGAUAACCGCUGAAAGCAUCUAAGCGGGAAGCGAGCCCUGAGAUGAGUCUUCCCUGAUACUUUAAGUAUCCUAAAGGGUUGUCGGAGACUACGACGUUGAUAGGUCAGGUGUGUAAGUGCUGUGAGGCAUUGAGCUAACUGAUACUAAUUGCCCGUGAGGCUUAACCAUACAACAC
Molecule: ribosomal RNA, 2236 nt
Filed under: Vibrio parahaemolyticus
Lineage: Bacteria; Pseudomonadati; Pseudomonadota; Gammaproteobacteria; Vibrionales; Vibrionaceae
Description: partial 23S ribosomal RNA
Rfam family: Bacterial large subunit ribosomal RNA
Source: RNAcentral